Molecule: long non-coding RNA, 4666 nt
Organism: Gallus gallus (chicken)
Lineage: Eukaryota; Metazoa; Chordata; Aves; Galliformes; Phasianidae
Source: Ensembl
ACACACACACACACACACACACACACACACUCCACGCACGCACACGCGGGGGGAGGCGGGGAGGGAGGGUGACGUCACUCCGCUCCGGCCCGGGGCGCAUCCCGGCGGGCAGCGGGGGGGGCAGGGCCGGGCCGCGCUGCUCCUGGCUGCCCGGGCCCGCCGACUUCGUCAAGUCGAGAUGCUCGUCGUCUCCCUCCCUCAGAACUUCCCUCGUUCCUCAAACACAGGGAAGGAAGAACUUGGAGAAUGUUCCUGAGAGUUUGUGACAACGUUCAUGAAGACAAAGAAAAGACAGGAAAAAAUGUUUGUAGGUAUUUCUACCAGUCCAGUGCUUUCAAACAUCAGAUGUUCUACUGGCUCAUCAAUCCAGUUGAAGCUACUGGAGCAUGUAAAUGCCACUGCACCUGCUCCUCUGCUCAUUGCUAUAAGGAUGCUCUUCAGCAUAGCCUAAUAAAUAUUUUGGUCUCUCUAUUCUGAUGUUACUAAGGAGAAAAACUACUUCCUGCAGAAUCUUACUCCCCUAUCUACUCAUAUAGAUCCAGGUGAUGUAAAGAUCAUGGAUGUAACAAGUAGUUGAACAGUCCCAGCUUUCUCAGCCUGUCCUCAUGGGAGAGGUUUUCCAUCCUUUGGAUCAUUUUUGUGGCUCUCCUCUGGAUGCACUCCAACAGGUCUAUGUCUCUCCUGUACUGAGGACUCCACAUCUUGGUGCAGUACUCCAGAUGACGUCUCAUCAAGGCAGAGUAGAGGAGCAGGAUGACCUCCCUUGACCUGCAGACCACACUUCUUUUGAUGCAGUCCAGGAUACAGAUAGCUUUCUGGGCUGCAAGCACACAUUGCUGGCUCAUGUCCAGUUUGCCAUUCACCAAUACUCCCAAGCCAUCAAGGGCUGCUCUCAAUCCUUUUGUCCUCCAGCUUGUAUUUAUAGUGGUGGUUGCCAUGACUCAACUCAAGAUGUUGCACUAGGAUUUGCUGAACCUCAUGAAUUUCACCUGUGGCCACUGAUCAAGCCUGUGUAGGUUUCUCUGUAUGGUACCCCAUCCCUCAGACUUGUUGACCACACUGCACAGCUUGGUGUCAUCUACAAACUUGCUAAGAAUGCACUCAAUCCUGCCAUCAAUAUCAAUGUGAUUUACUGAACAUGUAAAAGUACACUGCUCUUAGUACUGACCCCUGAGAAACACCACUCAUCACUGAUCUCCAUCCAGGUACUGAACCACUGACCAUCACUCUCUGGGUAUGAUUUCACAACUAGUUCCCCAUUGGCUGAACAGUCCACCCAUCAAAUCCUUACUUUUCUGGUUUGGAGAGGACAAUGGCCAGAAGCUAUCAAGUUGCUGAGAGAAGCCUGAGGACUGUUGAAUGGAACUUCAGGGCAUUGGGGCAGAUAGUUGAUGGACCAGAAGUGCAGGCAGUGUUUUCCUCUAUCCCCUCAGUGGCAGAGAGGGAUACUGAGAGGACCAGGAAAGUACAUGUCAUAAAUAUGUGUUUGAGAGGCUGACAUAAUUGCAAGAAUUUUUUAAUUUUUUAUUUUUUUGACCAUGUAGCCAUUUACUCAGCACCUUGCCAGAUGGCUGCAAAUGGGUUUCUCCUGUAUCAAAUGGGGAAACAGAUCCAAGCUCAGGAGCUAGCAGGGCUUGCUGAGAGGGCUUUAAGUUCGAUAUGAGGGGGGAAGGGGAUAAAACCAGCUUGCUAAAGAUGAGUCUGGGGGAAUAAUGAUGGGACUGGGGUGUGAGGAAAGGGGCUCCACUGAAGUGCAUCUGCACAAAUGCACACAGAAUGGGCAACAAACAGGAGGAGCUGGAAGCCAUCAUGCAGCAGACAAACUAUGACUUAGUUGCCAUUACUGAAACAUGGUGGAAUUGCUUCCAGAGCUAAAGUGCUGUAGUGGACGGCUACAGCAUCCACUAAGCUCUUCAAAAGGGACAGGCAAAAAAGGAGGAGUGGUUAUGUGGCCCUCUAUGAUAGAGAGGGCUUUGAUGUUGUUGAGCUCAAGGCUGGUAAUGAUAAAGUUGAAUCUCUGUGAGUAAGGAUCAGAGGGAGGGCCAACAAGGCUGACAUCCUGGUGGGAGUCUGUUAUAAACCACUUAGCUAGGAGGAAGAGAUGGACAAGGUGGUCUACAAGCAGAUGGCAGAAGUUGCACAGUCACCAGCCUUCAUUCUCAUGGAGGACUUCUUCAGUUGAAGUGAAGAAAAAGCAGUCUGAAAGGGUUCUAGAGUGUGUAGAAGAUAACUUCCUGACACAGCUGGUAAGAGAACAACAGGGAAAGCCCCCUGUUCACAAACAGAGAAGGACUGGUGAGAAGUGUGGAGGACAUGAACUGUCUUGGGCAGAGCAAACGUGAAAUAAUAAAGUUCUCAAUUGUUGGUGAAUUAAGGAGGGAAACAAGCAAAACCGCUACCUUGGUCUUCCAUACUUUCAACUGUUCAGGACACUGAUAGGAAGCAUCCCUUGGGAUUCGGUCCUGAAGGGUAAAGAUGUCCAAGAAAGCUGGAAGCUCCUCAAGAAGAAAGUCUUAAAGGCACAGGAACAGGCUGUCGCCCUGUGCUGCAACAUGAAGAAAAGAAGAACUGUGUGGAUGGGCAGAAACAUUUGCUGAGACUCCAGAAGAAAAAGAGAGCCUACCUCUUAUGGAAGAAGAAAUGGGAAACUCAAGGCAUCUAUGAACAAAUGGUUAAGAUAUACAGGGAUAAAAUUAGAAAGGCAAAAGCUCAGAUUGAAUUAAAUGUCACCACUGUGGUAAAAUGAACAAAAAGUUUUUAACAAAUAUAUUAACAGUAAGAGGAGAGCUAAGGAGAAUCUCCAGCCUUUACUGGAUGAGGACAGGAAUGUGAUCCCUGAGCAUAAUGAAAAGGCUGAAGUUCUCAACACAUUCUUUACACUUAUCUUUACAAGUCAGACCAGUUAUCUUUGAGGUAUAUUAAUCUCUGACCUGGAAGUCUGGGAUGGAGAGCAGAGUAAAUUCCCCAUGAUUCACAUGGAAAAAGUUUGAGACCUGUUAGUCUACCUGGACUGCCACAAGCUCAUGGGGCCAGACCCACCAAGGGUGCUGAGAGAACUGGUAGAGGUGAUUUCCAAGCCACUUUCCACCAUCUAUCAGAAUUCCUGGCCAACUGGAGAGGUCCCAGGGGAUUGGAGGCUUGUCAGUGUGACUUCCAUCUACAAGAAGGAAGGAUACAGGGAAAUACAGGCCUGUCAACCUGACCUUGAUGCCAGGAAUGAUAAUGGAGCAGAUCAUCUUGAGUGAGAUGACUCAGCAUCUGCAGGACAACUGGGGGAUCAGGCUUAGCCAGCAUGGGUUCAUGAAAGGCAGGUCCUGUCUGGCCAGCAAGAUCUUCUAUGGUUGAGUGACUCACCUGGUGGAUGAGAAAAAGGCUGCUGAUGUAGUCUUCACAGACUUCAACAAAGCCUUUGGCACUAUCUCCCACCAUAUUAUCUGAGGGAAUCUGAGGGCCACAAAGAUAUCAGAGGGCUAGAGCACCUUCUCUGUGAGAACAGGAUGAGAGAGCUGGGGCUCUUCACCCUGGAGAAGAGAAGGCUCUGGGGGGACCUUAUAGCAGCCUUUCAGUACCUGAAGGGGACCAACAGGAAAGAUAAGGAGGGACGUUAUAGAAGGGCAUGUAGUAACAGGACUGAGGGAAAUGGCUUUAAACUGGAAAAGGGUUAAUUUAGACUGGAUAUUAGGAAGAAAUUCUUUACUGUGAGGGUGGUGAGAUGUUGGAACAGGUUGCCUGGAGAGGUUGUGGAUGUCCUCACCCUGAUUAGGAGAUGUCCCUGUCUAUAGCAGGAGGGUUGAAAAUAGAUGAUCUUUAAAGUCCCUUCCAACCCAAACCACUCCAUGAAAAAAACAUCCAUGAAAAAACAUUGCCUGUUUUUUUCCAAUCACUGGGGACUUCACCUGACUGCCGUGACUUUUUAAAUGUCAUCAAGAGUGGCUUUGAGAUCACUUCAGCAAAUUCUCAGGAUUCUGGGAUGCAUCUCAUCAGCACUCAUAGACUUAAGGACAUUCAGAUUCCUAGGAGGUGGUGAAUCUGAUCUUUGCCUACAAUGGUAGGGGCUUCACUCUUCCAGUUCCCACCUUAUGAACCAUCUGCUAGAGAGCUGUGUGCACAAUAGUUUCUAGUGAAGACUGUGGCAAAAAGCGUUGUUGAGUACCUCAGCCUUCUCCCUGUAUGUUGUUAUUAGCCUGCCUGUAUUGCUCUCUAGGUGGAGUAUGCCCUCCUGGACUUUUCAAGUUUAAAUACAUACAGAAUCCUUUCAUAUUCUUCUUUGUAACCCUUUCCAAAUCAAGUUCCAAUUGGGUCUUGACUUUCCAGUCUACAUCCCUACACAACCCAGCAUUAUCUCAAAGCUUCCCUCAGGUUACCUGUCUCUGCUUUCACUGUCUGUGCAUUUUCUUCUUACUCUCCAGUUUGAUUAGAAGAUCCUGGUUCAAACAUGCUGUUAUCUUGCCUUCUUUUUCCCUAAAGAAAGCUUCCUUAAAGAUCUGCCAGCUCUGCUCCAAUCCUCUGUCCCUCAGGACAGUUUUUCAAGAUAUUUUGUUGACUAACUCCCUGAAGAGCUGAAAGUUGGCUCUCCUAAAAUUAAGCUUCCUGAUUUCACUCUUCGCCUGUCUGAUAUACCUCAAAAGGUUGUGAACUCCGCCAUCAUAUGGUCACUGUAUCUCAG